This 437-nucleotide ribosomal RNA is filed under the name Trapania tatsulok. RNAcentral's name for it is "partial large subunit ribosomal RNA". It matches the Rfam family "Bacterial large subunit ribosomal RNA", at positions 1828 to 2597 of the family's 2925-position model. Lineage: Eukaryota; Metazoa; Mollusca; Gastropoda; Nudibranchia; Goniodorididae. The record is from RNAcentral.
AGCCUUAAGAACAAUGAUUUAAGGUUAGACCUGCCCAAUGUGUUUAUUAUGAAUGGCCGCGGUACUCUGACCGUGCUAAGGUAGCGCAAUCAAUUGGUUUUUAAUUGGAGCCAGGUAUGAAUGGAGUUACGGGGUUCAGCUGUCUCUUAGCCAGUAUAUCUAAAUUACUAUUUAGGUGAAAAAGCCUAAAUUUUAAAGGGGGACGAGAAGACCCUUAGAGUUUUUCUUAUAUUGAUAGUGGUCAUAAUAGUUUUGUUGGGGCAACAAAGGAUCAAUAAAACAUCCUUAAUUUAGAUUAACCGAUUCUUAUAAACUUAAAUAAACUACCUUAGGGAUAACAGCAUAAUUUUAUAUAUAAGUUUGUGACCUCGAUGUUGGACUAGGAAACUAGGAGGCUAGCCGCUUUUUAGGUAAGUUCUGUUCGAACUAUUAUUCCU